This 3621-nucleotide long non-coding RNA is filed under the name Equus asinus (donkey). RNAcentral describes it as "lncRNA (ENSEASG00005028281.1)". The record is from RNAcentral. Lineage: Eukaryota; Metazoa; Chordata; Mammalia; Perissodactyla; Equidae.
GUUGCACUCAUGAUGUUGUGUGACUUCUCAGCUUGCUGGUUCCCUUGUUCCUAUUGCAAUGAUCUCAUUAUUGGCAUUUUGUUUUCAAAGUGUUAUCUGUCCCAUUUUGCAUUAUGCGUCUGUGUGGCUCGGCCUUAAGGCACUGUCUACCACUUUUCUUUCAACCACACAUCUUCUUAAAGAAUAUUCUGAAGAUGAAACAUCUUCCAUUAGCUUUGUUUUGUUUUAAUUUUUGCGGAAUGGGGGGAAGGAGAAUUCAUGCUCUCAUAAUUAUCUUCUUUAGUUUGAAUGACAGAACUGGACUUCGGGCAUCAGUUUGCAGUGAGAUCCAGACAAAUUGGGUCCAUUCUCUAGACUUGGUUUAAAAAAAAAAUUGAACAGCGUGAAGGAAAUGAGCCACAGGAGCCAUUCUCUUCCUCUUCCCUGGACCCUAGUGCACCUUUUCUUUUGUGCUGUCACUUGGCCCCACUUCUCACAUGACACAGCCUCUUUCCCUGCCCCAGGGGCCCUUUCUGGUUCUGCAGUUCUUUGGGAGUCUGUUGCUUUGUUUGUACCACUCGUUGGACAAGAAACACCAAUCAAAGUCCAGACUCUAAGUUCAUUUUGGCUCUAAUCCAUGCUCUUUUGGCUGUCCCACCCCUCUCUCUCUGUGCAUCACCCUGUUUAUCUCCAUGACCAGAUCCCUAACUCCCCAACAGAAAAUCACAUAUUUUAUAUCUAUCAUUACCCAGCUUCCUCAACCACCCCAUGCACUCAUAAUGAGGUCUUCAAAUAGUUGUUGCUCAUGGGAUUGGUUAAGAAAAAGAUUGGAGAGAAACGGAAUAGAUCUUCAUCUCCACACUGUUUCCUUCAAUCUUAUCAAUUUGUAAUUAUGUGUUUAUUUAUCUUUUUACUUAUUGACUGCUCCCCCUUCCCUCGAACUGUAAGCCUCAUAAAGGCUGGGAAAUGUGUCUGCUUUGUUGACCAAGUUAUGCCCAAUGCUGGCCAAAAUAAACAUGUUUAAUGAAUCUCUGUGGAAUAUAGGAGUGAAUAUAGAGGAGAAGGAGCUUAUUCAGGGUGGAUUUUCGCUCACCCUAAAGAAGUGAAAUGAAAGCAAACUUUGGUGGUUUUUGUUUAACUGUGAGCAAAUUGGUAUGGACUGAGAAAUUCAAUUAACUGUAUUCAUCAAUUUUUGUCUCUGGGGUACAGUCAUGAGAGUAAGACCCAGAAUUCUUGGUCCCACCCCUUUUGUGGCAUUAAAAAAAAAGCCUUGGCAUAUUACACCAACCAGAUUUUUUUCUUUGUCUCAAAGAAGGCUCAGCUGAAUGUUACAUUCCUCCCCCUCAUACAACAAUCAAAAACUCAGAAAACCUCAGCUGCCUCAGAUGAUGUCACAAAACCCUUAAGAAUGCUCACUGCUGAGUUGGGCACAGGUCCAGCAAACACAAUUCUUUCUGCCAGUUAUUCAGGGUCUUUGACAGAUUAGGUGGUCUUUUUUCUUCUUCUUCUUCUUUUUUUCAUCCUCUUAAAAGGCAGUUCAGUUUACCUCUAAGCAAGACAUUAGCUCUGGCUGCCCCAAAUAACAUUUUAAUUGAAGUCUCAGUCCAAACAAAUGCCUGGCCUCUUUAUUAACCCCAACAGUGUAAUUUUUCAACCUAAGACUGAUUCAGGGGGAAACUGUCUCACUUAAACUGCCAUGCAACGGAACAUGGCAGUUUUCCUCAAUCAGUCUCUUUUCUGACCUUAAUUUGAACCUUAAUCUCUUUUAACCAUGUUCUCUUUAUUAGCUGCUCAUAGCCGUGGCACAAUGCUAAUUUUCCUGUUUUUAGACUAUCAGUUUACAGAGGUAUUUCACUCCCCCUCAUGCCCCCAACUGUAACCAAGAUUUCAUGGACCUUCUUGGGAAAGGAAAGGUAAUACUUAUUCUUAACAGUUUUUUAGGAUUAGUAAUUUAAAUAGCUGCUUUGCAAAAGGUUCUGGAGAAUUUUAGACUGUGUGUUUUUGAGAUACAUUAAAGUUUAGGUACAAAAAAAUCAUACACUUCAUUGUCAGAAAAACCUAAAAAAAGCUCCUUUUAAAUGAUUACAAAAGACUUUUCAUCAAUAGACAGGUCCACACAUAAAGUGGAAACUAAGGCUAUUAUCUUAAUAAUUCAGUAAAAAAACAAUAUGUUUUUAUUAGAAACCUCUAAUCUUUUGGGGAGACCUGAAUUAUCCAGAUAAUUGCUUCAAUUCCUCCCUUCAUUUUUAUGCUUAGAUAUAAUCAAUGAGUAACGACAGAGAAAAUCAUUUUUUCUUAAUUAUACCUUCCCAUUUUUUGACGUUGGUAAAAUGAUCCAAAUUAAAAAGAAAAAAAAAAAAGCUCUUUCAAUAACAAUGAAAAAGAAUGUGUUUCUCUAUUUGGAGUCUAUCUUAAUAUAGCAGAACUAUGUAGGUAGGAAAACAGUGCUUAUGAUCAUGUGCUCAAUUAGAUUUAUUAUAGGUUUUUGUACUUUUUGGCAUUAGCAUGAAAGCAUAUUGGUUAUUAUUCUUUAUAACCUAAUUGGAGACUUUGUAACUACUUACCCCUCUGUUCUCUGCUUAAUACAAUAGUUUGUUGAUUGCAAGAAUUACAUUUCUGUGACUUUAAAGUCCUAGAACUGGGAUUGUCAUUGAAAGUUGGAGAUUCAGGCUGGUCUUUGGAGGGCAGGGCCCAUGUGCCCUCUGGGUGUGAGGAGGUAGGCAGCUGGGAACAAUUGUCUGUUCCCUGCGGUGUUCAGUGGCAUUAGCAGCGUGUUGGCACGAUAAACUUUGCCUUCAUUUCACUGGCUCAAACAAUUAGUGGGAUUGAAUCAGAGUUCUCCUGGAUCAUAGUUUAUUAUAUGUUAUUAAAUUCCAUUAUUCAAGAAGUUGCUGCUACGAUUAUGAAACUUCCCAGCAUCUCCCACAAAGCCCCCAUCUCCAUUCCCUGUGUAUUUUCUUUUACAUUUAUCUUUUGCUUCUCUGAUAGACAAGGUUUGUUUUUUCUUUUUCUUCCCCCUUGGGACUUAUUUAAAGAGCUAAGAGCUAAUUUGAAAAUACAUCUUGAAAGGACAACAAAAAUGAGAUGUGAAAAAAAUGGAUGAAGAUUCUUAAUUAGUCCGUUAUUUGACACGCACGAUUUAACAUGGUAUGCUUAGCAUUGUGCAUUCCCCAAAAGAACAAGGCUCUUUUUUUUUUUAUCCCAAACUUUAACUCCCUCUCAUUCAUUAUAUCCCUUCUUGUCACUUUCCAUUAGCCGAUCAUGACAUCCUUUGCUGGAAGGGCGAGCAAGCAGAUUACUUCCAAACUGGUGACAGAAGAGCUCCUUGGCACUGGAACCCUCCUGGUCUGGUGAGGGAGGAAUGAGGAUACACAGGCGCCAUCCAAAACUUCCUAUGUUCAGAUUGAGGAAAGAGGUGGGCCAGGCCUUUGGAUUCUCAUUACCUAAGGACGGUUCUGACUGUGAGAGCAAAUCACAGAAGGACAACCUUGAUGUCACCUGUAUAUAGAAGAUGUAGAGCCAUUAUCUGGAAAGAAUCUGGAUUCCUGAUUCACUGCUUGGAGGAGAGCAGCCUGGGACAGCUGCCCAACCAGGAAUAGUCACAUUACACUUUUUGUGUAACAUAUAAGAAAUAAACUUUCA